GUUGGGGCAGGGGGUGCCCAUUGGUUGGCGGGUCUCGCCCGCGGAGGCCGGAAGGUGGGGUGGUGACCACGGUUUGUGAUUGGCGUGGUCGCUUGACGGCGACGGGUCGCGAACGACGGACCGGCUACGGUGCAGCUGCAGCGGGAGGGGGGGCGGAGUGCGGAGGCUGGAAGGAAGAGCGGGUUGGUGUGAUGGUCGGGUGGGGAACUGCUAGGUGGCGGAAUGCCGCAGCUGUUUUUGCUGUCUCUUCGUUCUGCCGGAACUCGUGUCUGAGCAGCUGAGCAUGAUUGAUGAUGAUUACUACAUUUUAACUUUUCUACUCCCAGGAGUAAUUGGAUUCUAUUUUGUGGGGUGUUUAUUUUUUAUUUUUUACUCUUGCUCUCUGAUGUGAGACAUACACAG
Molecule: long non-coding RNA, 402 nt
Filed under: Hordeum vulgare
Lineage: Eukaryota; Viridiplantae; Streptophyta; Magnoliopsida; Poales; Poaceae
Description: long non-coding RNA (HVUL_LNC005358)
Source: RNAcentral